RNAcentral lists this unclassified non-coding RNA (359 nucleotides) under Bombus terrestris (buff-tailed bumblebee). RNAcentral's name for it is "misc RNA ENSBTSG00005032605.1". Lineage: Eukaryota; Metazoa; Arthropoda; Insecta; Hymenoptera; Apidae. The record is from RNAcentral.
UCUCGCCUCCCCUCGGCGAGCGGAACGAACGUAUUAGGUUAUGGACCUCGCUUUUCCAGGCGCGCAAGUUAUAAAUGGCCGUUGCACGCCGAGCUGAAACGUAUACACAGGGUGCACGGUGUAUUCUCCCGCGAGCGCGAGCGAACGAAGAUGACGUUAGGCCGCGAGUUAGAAGUAGAAGAGAGAUCGCAAUAUACCGACGCGAGACUGGAAGCGGGACUAGUCGACGUAGUCGAUGGAGGCGCGCGGGCUAGUGGACUCGGAUUUAUGAGACCGUCAUAUUUCGCAAGUUGCGAGCCGGAAUUUCAUUUCCACGUUCACGACAACAAUGCUACUCGACUAUUACCUAUGGUGCGCGC